RNAcentral lists this ribosomal RNA (443 nucleotides) under Capnocytophaga granulosa. Its description in RNAcentral is "bacterial SSU rRNA". It matches the Rfam family "Bacterial small subunit ribosomal RNA", at positions 28 to 474 of the family's 1533-position model. The record is from RNAcentral. Lineage: Bacteria; Pseudomonadati; Bacteroidota; Flavobacteriia; Flavobacteriales; Flavobacteriaceae.
GAUGAACGCUAGCGGCAGGCCUAACACAUGCAAGUCGAGGGAGAAGCCCUUCGGGGCAGAAACCGGCGCACGGGUGCGUAACGCGUAUGCAACCUACCUUUCACAGGGGGAUAGCCCGAAGAAAUUUGGAUUAAUACCCCAUAAUAUUAUUGGGUGGCAUCAUUUGAUAAUUAAAAUUACGAUGGUGAAAGAUGGGCAUGCGUCCUAUUAGCUAGUUGGAGUGGUAACGGCACCCCAAGACUACGAUAGGUAGGGGUCCUGAGAGGGAGAUCCCCCACACUGGUACUGAGACAGGGACCAGACUCCUACGGGAGGCAGCAGUGAGGAAUAUUGGUCAAUGGUCGGAAGACUGAACCAGCCAUGCCGCGUGCAGGAAGAAUGCCUUAUGGGUUGUAAACUGCUUUUAUAUGGGAAGAAUAAGGAGUACGUGUACUUUGAUGACG